UAAGGAAAACAGCCAUGAAAGCCAUGUUAUUUAAGAAUGUUAGGCUGGCCGGGCGCGGUGGCUCACGCCUGUAAUCCCAGCACUUUGGGAGGCCGAGGCAGGCAGAUCAUCUGUGGUCAGGAGUUCGAGACCA
Molecule: long non-coding RNA, 133 nt
Organism: Sapajus apella (tufted capuchin)
Lineage: Eukaryota; Metazoa; Chordata; Mammalia; Primates; Cebidae
Exons: 3
Source: RefSeq, a predicted model, not a curated record